UCAAACUUGGUCAUUUAGAGGAAGUAAAAGUCGUAACAAGGUCUCCGUUGGUGAACCAGCGGAGGGAUCAUUACCGAGUUGCAAAACUCCCAAACCCAUUGUGAACCAAUACCACUGUUGCUUCGGCGGACACGCCCCGGGCGCACCUCCUCACGGGGGCGUGCCCCGGAACCAGGCGCCCGCCGGGGGACCGAAACCUCUGUAUUUACCAUUUGAGUACUCUGAGUGUGAUUUACAAAAUCAAAAUUAAAACUUUCAACAACGGAUCUCUUGGCUCUAGCAUCGAUGAAGAACGCAGC
Molecule: unclassified non-coding RNA, 299 nt
Filed under: uncultured fungus
Lineage: Eukaryota; Fungi
Description: partial contains small subunit ribosomal RNA, internal transcribed spacer 1, and 5.8S ribosomal RNA
Rfam family: Eukaryotic small subunit ribosomal RNA (bases 1-73)
Source: RNAcentral